Oncorhynchus kisutch (coho salmon) is the source of this 1672-nucleotide long non-coding RNA. The record is from Ensembl. Lineage: Eukaryota; Metazoa; Chordata; Actinopteri; Salmoniformes; Salmonidae.
UGUAAUCAUCUGCCAGAGAGUGGCCCCAAUCGUCCCGAGCCCCAAGUAAUACAUUUGGGUCAGAUAACUCACACCGGAAUCAGCCCGAGCCCCAAGUAAUGCAUUUGGGCCAGAUAACUCACACCGGAUUCGGCCCGAGCUCAAUCCCCGCAUCCUCGGGCCACAUGAUUUCGGCCGAGUCUGACUCAGCCGAGUGCCCCGACACACAGCCGGAAUCCGCCCAGAUCCACUGUGCUAGCUGGGGUGGGACAAUAUUCCACAGGCCACAAUCGACAGCUUGAUCAACACUAUGCAAAGGAGAAGUGUCCCAGAGAAGGAGCAGCAGCAGCAGGAGCAGCAGCAGGAGAGGGCAGGAGCAGCAACAGCAGCAGGAGCAGCAGGAGAGGGCAGGAGCAGCAGCAGCAGCUACCCCCUUCUCAUGUAAUGGGGUAGGGCCAACCCAAGGAUCCCGAAAUGCACGGACUGUGUUAGUGGGGGAACAGGAAGUUCCCGACAGGCACGCACCAUUCUUCAGAAUUUUAAAAAAGCGCCAGAACUGUGCAGUUAAGAAGGUAACUUUUGUGCCCGUUUAAUUUUAUUACUACAGGUACGUAAUAGCACGUUUAAAAGUUCCAUGCUAGGUAACAAAUCCAUUAAAUUAUUAUCACGUUUGGUAAAGGUUUGAUGUGUUAUUUUUGUGUCAAACCGAGUGGAGAACGUGGUGACAAACUAUUUUACAAGUCACGUAACUAGAGACGUUGGUGUUAGUGUUAGUCUUAGUGGAUGUACAUAUUCUGCUCAGGUUCAAUUUCAUAAAUAAUCAAUUUAUUUGAGAUUUCCGAGCUUCAUGUUAUCGGUUUUGUGUAAAAUUCACACGCUGUGAAAAUGGCGGCGCCGACUCGGACUGGGUCAACGGACUAAAGUGCAGACAAUGUUACGGUUGCGCUACUGUUUUGAAGCUGAAUGUAUGAGGCUAGUAACAUCAACAGUGAGGACAAACCCAGCCCUCCUCUCUCCUUCUGCACUGAGUCCAAACCUACAGUCGCUGGGUCCUGAUUGCGACAGUGGAGCCCAGUUUGCACUGCAGGGUCCAGAGAUGGCAUCAGUGAAGUUGGAGGACUGCAGUCAAACCCUGGAGCUGAAUGUCAACAUUAAAGAUGAAGAAGAGGAGGAGAAGAUUGGGACAUCUGUUUCUCAUGUACUUGCCGACUCUGGUAUGAGGCCGGUAACAUCAACAGUGAGGACAAACGCAGGCCUCCUCUCUCCUUCCACACUGACUCUAAACCUACAGUCACUGGGUCCUGAUUGUGACAGUGGAGCCCAGUUUGCACUGCAGGAUCCAGAGAUGGCAUCAGUGAAGCUGGAAGACUGCAGUCAAACACUGGAGCUGAAUGUCAACAUGAAAGAUGAAGAAGAGGAGGAGAAGAUUGGGACAUCUGUUUCUCAUGGUAAGAGCAGGUUCUAACUAACUAAGUUUGUGUUUUUCAUUCCAACUUCCCACUGUGUAUGAACAGUUGCAGUAGAACUGUUUCAUGAUGAACUGUUUCAAUGAGAAGGUAGAUGUUAUUUCAUGCUACUGAGACUUGCAUGGUUUGACACCAGCACCAGAGAGGAGACUAAAGAGGUGAAGUAGACAAACUGCCAGUGUUUUAAAGUUCUAUGAAACAAAACCUGAGAUACUUUUAGAAUAGUU